RNAcentral lists this ribosomal RNA (505 nucleotides) under uncultured bacterium. RNAcentral describes it as "partial 16S ribosomal RNA". It matches the Rfam family "Bacterial small subunit ribosomal RNA", at positions 28 to 507 of the family's 1533-position model. The record is from RNAcentral.
GACGAACGCUGGCGGCGUGCCUAAUACAUGCAAGUAGAACGCACAGUUUAUACCGUAGCUUGCUACACCAUACACUGUGAGUUGCGAACGGGUGAGUAACGCGUAGGUAACCUGCCUGGUAUCGGGGGAUAACUAUUGGAAACGAUAGCUAAUACCGCAUAAUAUUGAUUAUUGCAUGAUAAUUGAUUGAAAGAUGCUAUUGCAUCACUACCAGAUGGCCCUGCGUUGUAUUAGCUAGUAGGUGAGGUAACGGCUCACCUAGGCGACGAUACAUAGCCGACCUGAGAGGGUGGUCGGCCACACUGGGACUGAGACACGGCCCAGACUCCUACGGGAGGCAGCAGGAGGGAAUCUUCGGCAAUGGACGAAAGUCUGACCGAGCAACGCCGCGUGAGUGAAGAAGGUUUUCGGAUCGUAAAGCUCUGUUGUAAGAGAAGAACGGGUGUGAGAGUGGAAAGUUCACACUGUGACGGUAUCUUACCAGAAAGGGACGGCUAACUACGUG